CAGGUUCUUCAAUCUUUGGGGAUAUGAAUACAGGAAUUGGCCAAGCACCAACAUUCCUCAGAGUGGCUUACAACAGAUUCCCAUCAGGGGUGAAAUCCAGCAGGUCCUGACAGGUUCUGGAGAACCGGUAGUGGAAAUUUUGAGCAUUUCGGAGAACUGGCAAAUACCACCUCUGGCUGGUCCCAGAGUGGGGUGGGAAUGGAGAUUUUUCAAUAUCCUUCCCCUGCCACGUCCACCAAGCUACACCCACAGAAGUGGUAGUAAAAAAAAUUGGAUUUCACCACUGAUUCCCAUCAAUAGCUAGCACCCCGGCAACAACUCAGGAAGCGCUCAGGAGGAUAAGCUCCAUUGACAGUUACAGAUACUUGGCUGGCAGCACAUUCUUGCCCAAGCUAAAGACAGAAAUAUCCAGCUGAGCAGAAAGAGAGAGAUCUGCUGGAAGGGCUGUGCCAAGGCAUCCAAGAAUCAGGUUGCCUGACUGCAAUGGGUGUGGUACUGACUUCCUUGCAUCUUUGGAAGAAGUUGAUCUCACUUAAAGCAACAUCUGAGCAUACUGGAGAAAGGAAAGUGGGAAGCAAACCAAUUAUUUUUUUUCCCCUUUUGACCCUGAAUGGCAGAAACCUCUCACAGGCAGAAAGACUUCCCACUUGUUAAGCUCAAAUUGAGACUGUGAUAAACAUAUUAUAUGGCUUUCUUGAGCAAUCCUGACUCUGUUUACUUGUUGUCUGGUUGGCUGGCUGG
Pantherophis guttatus is the source of this 741-nucleotide non-coding RNA. The record is from RefSeq and is a predicted model, not a curated record. Lineage: Eukaryota; Metazoa; Chordata; Lepidosauria; Squamata; Colubridae.